GGCACGGCGCGGGAGGACCGGGGCGCUGGAGCUGCCCGGGGCUGCGGCGUCGUGUCCUGGAGCGGGCGGUCCCCGGCCGGGCCGGCGAGGAGCGGGGCCGGCGGGAGCCGCGCUGCGGGCGACGGCUCCAGAGCCGGGAGGCUCCAGACCUCGCUCGGUGCCCGCGGGAGGAGGCCGGGAGCCUCCACGUUUGGUUCAAAGGAGCCCUGCAGGCCUGUGCUUUGUACCGGCAUUACUUGACUCUGUGACCAACAUGUAAUUUUCUGCACCAGAGACAAGAAGGAAACAGCAGUUGUUAAGAAAUAAGCUGUGCCUGUUGCAGCUGAUGUAACUGUGGGGGACCUGCCUGUGAGACAUACAGGUCUAACUCCAGCUGGAAUUGAAGGAUUACAAGAAUCAUCAACUGCACAGAAUAUAAAAGCUCAACAAGUUAGGUAACAAAUCAGUCAAGAAGAACUGGAGGACAGGUUCCUUCAUGCACAUGAUGAUCACAACCUACUCAAGAAGCAUGCAAAUGAGCAAGAGGAGAAAAUUAAAAGCAUUCCUUGCCAAAACCCUCUUAACUAGAAGUUUGGAAUGAAUUUGCAGUAGAAGAACAUUGAAAAAACUCCAUGUAAAUAAAAAACCUGAUACAGGCAAGUAACAUUCUGUGACAUCCUGAAGUUAUUAGGGAUUUUUUUUUGUUUCACUUUUGUUCUUUUAAGUAGAAGCUUCUGUCCACAAGUACACAAAAAAUAAAACAAGCCCCUUUAAACAAA
This is a non-coding RNA of Taeniopygia guttata (zebra finch), 758 nucleotides long. Lineage: Eukaryota; Metazoa; Chordata; Aves; Passeriformes; Estrildidae. The record is from RefSeq and is a predicted model, not a curated record.